UAGGGAAUAUUGCAAAAUGGGCGAAAGCCCGAUGCAGCAACGCCGCGUGGGCGAUGAAGGCCUUCGGGUCGUAAAGCCCUUUUUGAGGGGAUGAGGAGGGACAGUACCCUCAGAAUAAGCCUCGGCUAACUACGUGCCAGCAGCCGCGGUAAAACGUAGGAGGCGAGCGUUAUCCGGAUUUACUGGGCGUAAAGCGCGUGCAGGCGGAUUGGAGAGUUGGAUGUGAAAGCUCCCGGCUUAACUGGGAGAGGUCGUUCAAUACUUCCAGUCUUGAGUGCAGUAGAGGGCAGUGGAAUUCCAGGUGUAGUGGUGAAAUGCGUAGAUAUCCGGAGGAACACCAGUGGCGAAAGCGGCUUCCUGGACUGUAACUGACGCUCAGACGCGAAAGCUAGGGUAGCAAACG
This 403-nucleotide ribosomal RNA is filed under the name uncultured bacterium. RNAcentral describes it as "bacterial SSU rRNA". It matches the Rfam family "Bacterial small subunit ribosomal RNA", at positions 355 to 774 of the family's 1533-position model. The record is from RNAcentral.